Molecule: ribosomal RNA, 253 nt
Filed under: uncultured bacterium
Lineage: Bacteria
Description: partial 16S ribosomal RNA
Rfam family: Bacterial small subunit ribosomal RNA
Source: RNAcentral
UACGGAGGGUGCAAGCGUUGCUCGGAAUUAUUGGGCGUAAAGGGCAGGUAGGUGGUCUCGUUUGUCUAGGGUGAAAGCCUUGAGCUUAACUCAAGAAGUGCCCUAGAAACUGCGAGACUAGAGUUCUGGAGAGGGUCGUGGAAUUCCCGGUGUAGCGGUGAAAUGCGUAGAGAUCGGGAGGAACACCAGAGGCGAAAGCGGCGACCUGGACAGAUACUGACGCUGAGGCGCGAAAGCGUGGGUAGCAAACAGG